UAGGGAAUCUUCGGCAAUGGACGAAAGUCUGACCGAGCAACGCCGCGUGAGUGAAGAAGGUUUUCGGAUCGUAAAACUCUGUUGUUAGAGAAGAACAAGGACGUUAGUAACUGAACGUCCCCUGACGGUAUCUAACCAGAAAGCCACGGCUAACUACUUGCCAGCAGCCGCGGUAAUACGUAGGUGGCAAGCGUUGUCCGGAUUUAUUGGGCGUAAAGCGAGCGCAGGCGGUUUCUUAAGUCUGAUAUGAAAGCCCCCGGCUCAACCGGGGAGGGUCAUUGGGAACUGGGAGACUUGAGUGCAGAAGAGGAGAGUGGAAUUCCAUGUGUAGCGGUGAGAUGCGUAGAUAUAUGGAGGAACACCAGUGGCGAAGGCGGCGCUCGGGUCUGUAACUGACGCUGAGGCUCGAAAGCGUGGGGAGCAAACAGG
This 429-nucleotide ribosomal RNA is filed under the name Gemmatimonadota bacterium. Its description in RNAcentral is "Gemmatimonadetes bacterium partial 16S ribosomal RNA". It matches the Rfam family "Bacterial small subunit ribosomal RNA", at positions 355 to 776 of the family's 1533-position model. The record is from RNAcentral. Lineage: Bacteria; Pseudomonadati; Gemmatimonadota.